This 30-nucleotide non-coding RNA is filed under the name Homo sapiens (human). The record is from RNAcentral. Lineage: Eukaryota; Metazoa; Chordata; Mammalia; Primates; Hominidae.
UCAAAGUAAAAUGCCUAAACGAGGGCUGGU